GUAGUCCACGCCCUAAACGAUGUCAACUAGCUGUUGGGGCCUUCGGGCCUUGGUAGCGCAGCUAACGCGUGAAGUUGACCGCCUGGGGAGUACGGUCGCAAGAUUAAAACUCAAAGGAAUUGACGGGGACCCGCACAAGCGGUGGAUGAUGUGGAUUAAUUCGAUGCAACGCGAAAAACCUUACCUACCCUUGACAUGUCUGGAAUGCCGAAGAGAUUUGGUAGUGCUCGCAAGAGAACCGGAACACAGGUGCUGCAUGGCUGUCGUCAGCUCGUGUCGUGAGAUGUUGGGUUAAGUCCCGCAACGAGCGCAACCCUUGUCAUUAGUUGCUACGAAAGGGCACUCUAAUGAGACUGCCGGUGACAAACCGGAGGAAGGUGAUGGGGACUCACAGGAGACUGCCGGGGUCAACUCGGA
This 417-nucleotide ribosomal RNA is filed under the name uncultured bacterium. RNAcentral describes it as "bacterial SSU rRNA". It matches the Rfam family "Bacterial small subunit ribosomal RNA", at positions 790 to 1208 of the family's 1533-position model. The record is from RNAcentral.